ACACACAGACACUCACUCACUCACACACACACACAGACACUCACUCACUCACUCACUCACACACUCACUCACUCACUCACUCACUCACUCACACACACACAGACACUCACUCACUCACACACACACACAGACACAGACACUCACUCACUCACACACACACACAGACACUCACUCACUCACUCACACACUCACUCACACACUCACUCACUCACUCACUCACACACACACAGACACUCACUCACUCACACACACACACAGACACUCACUCACUCACUCACACACACACACAGACACACACACAGACACACACACACACAGACACACACACACUCACUCACUCACUCACACACACACACACAGACACUCACUCACUCACUCACACACACACAGACACUCACUCACUCACUCACACACACACAGACACUCACUCACUCACUCUCACACACACACAGACACUCACUCACUCACACACUCACACACACACACACACACACACACACUCACUCACUCACUCACACACACACACACACAGACACUCACUCACUCACUCACUCACUCACACACACACAGACACUCACUCACUCACUCACACACACACAGACACUCACUCACUCACUCACUCACACACACACAGACACUCACUCACUCACUCACUCACACACACACAGACACUCACUCACUCACUCACUCACACACACACAGACACUCACUCACUCACUCUCACACACACACAGACACUCACUCACUCACUCACACACUCACACACACACACAGACACACACACACUCACUCACUCACUCACACACACAGACACUCACACUCACACACACACAGACACUCACUCACUCACACACACACAGACACUCACUCACUCACUCACACACACACACACACACACACACUUCCUGUUGCACACAGCUGUGAAGCUGGACCCAGUGUUGAUCUGCUAAUUGACUCUUGUUCCCAUGGAAACAACAACAAACAGCUGUUUAACUUCACAAAGACGACGUGUU
RNAcentral lists this long non-coding RNA (1013 nucleotides) under Cottoperca gobio. RNAcentral's name for it is "lncRNA (ENSCGOG00000021182.1)". Lineage: Eukaryota; Metazoa; Chordata; Actinopteri; Perciformes; Bovichtidae. The record is from RNAcentral.